Long non-coding RNA from Helianthus annuus (common sunflower), 536 nucleotides. RefSeq lists it as uncharacterized. The transcript has 4 exons. The record is from RefSeq and is a predicted model, not a curated record. NCBI's taxonomy places the organism in Eukaryota, Viridiplantae, Streptophyta, Magnoliopsida, Asterales, Asteraceae.
GUGAUUUACACAGGAGCAAAAAGGGAUUCUUGAUCAAAACCCUAAAUCACAAGAAAUUCAGCCAAAUCAAGGGAAAUUAAGCUAGGAAAUUGGGGCUUUAACUAAAAUCAAGAUCACCCAGCUUAUGGGAUCACAAGUUUGACUCUGACAAGCUAGGUAGGAGCUUGGAAAUGAAUGGGUCAAAUAGAUACAAGUUCAAGUAUGAAGCUCGAAAGGAUGCAAGGCCAAACAAGUCAAAUGGUGGUGAUAACGUGGGUUGUUAAGUCGUAUGAUCACAGGAGUGAACUGGAGGUGGAUAAGUGCGUUGCUAUAAGUAGCGGCAAAUAAAAGCAAGGUAUAAAUCGGGUCUAUAAGUUGACCAGAGCCAGGUAAAUAUCAUGGGUUCCCGGAUGAAGAUUAAGCGCCAUACAAGAACCGAACACACACGAAAAAGAAGCUUCCGCAUGUUGCGUCGUCGUUAUUCUAAAAGACGAACUCAAUUACAUUAUGUUGUAAUAUUUUUGUUAUAAUUGUAAAAGUUUUAAUUUACCCAUAUU